ACGGAAGCCGGCAAGGCCAGGGUCGACCCGGAAGAGAAGGAUCGAUCUCCCGAGCCGCACUUCCCAGUACGGAGAGCGGUACCCACGCGGAGCCACAGCCGCGAAGAUGGCAGAAGUGUUGCGGGCCUGCGUAAUUGCGGAACGUGAUCGGUGUUAGCAGCCCUUUGGGUGGGGUUGCAGCCGAAGAACACCGCAGGAGCGCCGAGGCCACCCACGCAGCCCACGUUGGACGCUUGGUAACCGUGUACCGUACUAGCGGGCGGCGAGCCGAAUCCCUUCGGAUCGCCGCCCGCUUCGUACG
Mycobacterium arupense is the source of this 301-nucleotide non-coding RNA. NCBI's taxonomy places the organism in Bacteria, Bacillati, Actinomycetota, Actinomycetes, Mycobacteriales, Mycobacteriaceae. The record is from Rfam.